GCUAUGUGACCACGUUCCAGAAGUAUUCUCUCCUGACGUUUCGCCCACAUCUAUGGCAGGCAUCCUCAGAGGUUGUGAGGCAUGGAUAAACUAGGAAAGGAAAAAAAUAUAUAUAUGUGGAGAGUCCAGGGUGUGGCAAGAGUCCUUUGUCACUGGGAAGCCAGCAUUAAUGUUUCAGUUAAUCACCCUAAUUAGCAUUGGAAAGGUUUUUGUCUCUUGCCUGGGGGACAUCCUUUGUUCAGUCAAUAGCUGUCCUUGGGUCUCCUUUUCCUUCAGAGUGUUGGUUCCCAUCUACUGUUUGAUGCCUGCCAUAGAUGUGGGCGAAAUGUCAGGAGAGAAUACUUCUGGAACAUGGCCACACAGCCCGAAAGACAUACAACAACCCUGUGAUCCCGGCCAUGAAAGCCUUCGACAACACAUAUUCGCAGAAUGGCAUAUAGGAAGGCAGGGAGAGAUAUGGGAACCAUCGCUCUAGUUCAUCGCAUUAGAAAUGUGAUCGAGGUGACCCCCCCCCCCCACAAGGACUUUGUAAAAGAUAGUUCAAAAAUCAAGGCUUUAUGUCCUAUAUUUCAGAUAUUUAUAGCAGAAGGUGAUUGAGAUAUUUUACUGGAGUUUACUGUGAUUUACUAAAAUCCCUGCACAAAAGGUGUUUGACUUUUUAGCCUGAGGCAAGAGAUAACAGCUUCCCACCUUUCAAUCUCUUUUCCUGUCCACCAACAUUUUUCUGUUCUUGAGUUGGGAGUAGAGUAACUGCUUUGGAAGAUGGUGACUGGGCAUUAGGACAAUGUGGCCUUCAGUUCAGCGAAGGAAACUGGAGUUGCUUCUGGAGUGAGAGAAUUGGCUGUCUGCAAGGAUGUUGCCCAGGGGACAUUUGGAUGUUUUGAUGUUUUACCAUCCUUGUGGGAGGCUUCUCUUGUUUCUUCGCAUGGAGCUGGAGCUGAUAGAGGGAGCUCAUCCACACUCUCCCCGGGGUGGGAUUUGAACCUGGCAGCUUUCAGGUCAACAGCCCAACCUCCAACUUCCAACCUCCUCCAACNNNNNNNNNNNNNNNNNNNNNNNNNNNNNNNNNNNNNNNNNNNNNNNNNNNNNNNNNNNNNNNNNNNNNNNNNNNNNNNNNNNNNNNNNNNNNNNNNNNNUUCAACCUCCAUCCUCCUCCAACCAACCUCCAACCAACCUCCAACCUCCUCCAACCUCCUCCAUCCUCCUCCAACCUCCUCCAUCCUCCUCCAACCAACCUCCAACCUCCUCCAACCAACCUCCAACGUCCAACCUCCUCCAACCAACCUCCAACCUUCAAACUCCUCCAACCUCCAACCUGCUCCAACUUCCAACCUUCUCCAACCUCUUCCAACCUCCUCCAACCUCCAACGUCCUCCAACCAACGUCCUCCAACCAACCUCCAACCAACCUCCAACCAACCUCCUCCAACCAACCUCCAACCUCCAACCAACCUCCAACCAACCACCUCCAACCUACCUCCAACCUCCAACCUCCAACCUCCUCCAACCUCCAACCCCCAACCUCCUCCAACCUCCUCCAACCUCUUACCUCAGGUUCCAACCUCCAACCUCGAGUAACAUAAUGUACUCAGUCUCUAUUAGUAGUACUCCAUCUCUAGCAGGUGGCUUGAUUGUUGCUGGCCAUACAGUGUUUAGUCAUGAUCCUUACAAUCACUUACCCAUUUUCACUUAAGAAAUGAUAUAAAACUCUGACAAAAGGCCUUUCUAGGCAUGCAUGGGAAUAAGAGAGGAUUCCCUCAUUCUAAUCCUAUCCUCUACCUCACUGCUCAUUGAGGCCUUGAGACUUGUGUAGUCCAGGAUGACAGCCAACAAACUGUCUUUCCUCUCACCUCUACAGGAGUCUAUCGUAUCCCAUGCAGCUGUGGACAAGUCUACAUAGGGACCACCAAACGCAGCAAUGCCCAAACACGAGUCAAAGAACAUGAAAGGCACUGCAGACUCACUCAACCAGAGAAAUCAGCCAUAGCAGAGCACCUGAGGAACCAACCUGGACACAGUAUAUUAUCUGAGAACACAGAAAUGCUGGACCACUCAUGUCAGAUGACACAGAGGAGCCAUUGAAAUUCACAAGCAUGUGGACAACUUCAACAGAAAGGAGGAAACCAUGAAAAUGAACAAAAUCUGGCUUCCAGUAUUAAAUCAAAAACCAGAACAGUAAAUAGGAAGCAACACUCUGAAAACAAAGUUCCAAGGGCAGCUAAUGACUCUGAACAAAGGAUGCCCCCAGGCAGAAAUAGCCAGGAGAUGAACCUUUCCAAUGCUAAUUAAGGUGAUUAACUGCAACAUUCACACUGGCCUCCAACUGACCAAGAGUUCUUCUCACACCCUGGACUUUCCAUAGAUAUAUAUAAACCUUCCUUGGUCAGUUUCUCCAUGCCUCACAAUCUCUGAGGAUGCCUGCCAUAGAUGUGGGUGAAACGUCAGGAGAGAAUACUUCGAGAACAUGGCCAUACAGCCCGGAAAACAUACAACACCUGAACAUCAGGAAGAACUUCCUCACUGUGAGAAGGGCUGUUCAGCAGUGGAACUCUCUGCCACGGACUGUGGUGGAGGCUCCUUCUUUGGAGGCUUUUAAGCAGAGGCUGGAUGGCCAUCUGUCGGGGGUGCUUUGAAUGCGAUUUCCUGCUUCUUGGCAGAAUGGGGUUGGACUGGAUGGCCCAUGAGGUCUCUUCCAACUCUACUAUUCUAUGAUUCUAACAAUCCUGUGAUCCUGGCCAUGAAAGCCUUCGAUAACACAUUGUCUUUCAGGUUGCUUAGGUAAACAACGAGCUGGGGCUAUUUAAUAGUCGGGCACUCAAUCUGAUCCGGGCUUCGAACUCAUGACCUCUCGGCCAGUAAUAAUAAUAAUAAUAAUAAUAAUAAUAAUAAUAAUAAUAAUAAUAAUAGAAUCAUAGAAUCAUAGAAUCAUAGAAUAGUAGAGUUGGAAGAGACCUCAAGGGCCAUCUAGUCCAACCCCCCGCUAAGAAGCAGGAAAUCGCAUUCAAAGCACCCCCGACAGAUGGCCAUCCAGCCUCUGCUUAAAAGCUUCCAAAGAAGGAGCCUCCACCACAUUCCGGGGGAGAGAGUUCCACUGCCGAACAGCCCUCACAGUGAGGAAGUUCUUCCUGAUGUUCAGGUGGAAUCUCCUUUCCUGUAGUUUGAUUAUUAAUAUUAAUUAAUAAUAUUAAUUAUUAUUAUUAUUAUUAAUAAUAAUAAUAAUAACUUUAUUUUUAUACCCCGCCUCUAUCUCCCCGGAGGGGACUCAGGGCGGCUUACAUGGGGCCAAGCCCGAAUAAAAACAGUAGCAGUAUAAAACACAGCAAUAGUGUAGUAGUGAUUUAUGGCAGCUGGCUACUAACCAGCUGCGCCACAGCCC
This is a long non-coding RNA of Anolis carolinensis (green anole), 3375 nucleotides long. The record is from Ensembl. NCBI's taxonomy places the organism in Eukaryota, Metazoa, Chordata, Lepidosauria, Squamata, Anolidae.